CGGUCAGAAGAGAUGAAGCGGCGAGGACGGACGACGGAGUGUGGAGCGCCGGCUGCCGGGGACUGGGGAGGCCGCAGCGAAGCGGCGGUGGGGACUGGGGAAGCGACCGCGAAUAAAUGAGUCCAAUGGAUAACAACUGUUUCAGUGGGCUGGCCCGCUGGGGCUUGGUUGGACGAAAGCUCGUCCCAUACUCCCAUCUCAUAAAACCCACUCCCCAGUCCUCGCCGCGCGAGAAGACACAAAGCUGAAGGCGAGCGAAGCAAAGUAGUAGUAGCAGUGCCGUUCCCGUCCGCGACGCGCCUCCCGCCUGAGCCCGCACAACCGCGCCGCGUCAAUCCUCAUGUGGGCGUCCUGGGUGAAGGCGCACAGCUCUGACACCGCCGCCGCCUUGUAAUACCCGUGGCUACACCGGCGAGAUCAAUCCGGGAGCGUGAGUAAUUGCAGGGGAAAUCGAGAGGGGGAUAGGAUCUCACAGCCAGAGGAGGAAGACGAGCUUCCUGUGUUCCUCGGUCUUUCUUCUUUCUGAAUAAUUUCCUGUCCUCUGCAUCGAUGCCUCAGCUCCUCUUUGUCCUCGUGGUCUUUGGCUUCAGCAAUUGGGUUGGAUAGAGUGGGCUUCGGCCUUGGCAAAUGGGCAGGUAGGCUGGGCUUCUUCUGGGCCACACUUGGGUCAUGACAUUUACCGGCCCCUCGAAACACAGCUUGUCCCCAAGCUGUGGCCGUACUGAUGCCCGGAUCCCAUUGCAUCCGAACUGAUGGAUCAGAUGGUAAAUUGAUACCCAGCUCCAGAGCGACCUUAUGUGCAGCAGAAUCAAUUUGAUGUAGCUGCUCAACUUGUCCAGGACUGAAAGCAUUUCUUGCCCAUGGUUGCAACACAGCUUGUCCCCAUGCAACAUGAGUCCUUGCAAAGCAUACUCCUCUCUGCUCAUUGUCUCCUUUUCUUGUACCACCAAAAUGGUGAUCAGUUUGAAUCAUAUAUUGACAGGUCAAAACAAUGGGUUGUCCUCCAUGGUACUGCUCACAAAUUUUCAGAAUAAGAUCUUGUUCUGGCACCCUCACAAGUGAUUGAAUAUCCCACUCCUCUUGAAUACUGACAGCAAAACUGAGAUCAAAGUCAGGCUCAACAAUAGGGUCCAUCUUAUCAUCAUACACAUACUCUCUACCACUUGCUCGCUCCUGUGAUAGGCCAUCUUGCAAAUUGAUGUUGACAGGCAUCUCAUUCACGUGAUCUAUAGCAACCCCAAAGAGAAAAGGAGUGUUUAUCUCAAGAGUUAGCUCAUCACUCAUGCUUGCCUUGCAAACUGCUUUGCUAUCUUCAUCGAGCCCUUCCACAAAAACAUGGUCUGCAUCGACCAAUCCAAACUCUUUGAAAUCCGAGGAGUCAUCCACAACCUGCUCAUCAACUGGGUACUCCCCGCCAGAAACCAGCAGUCCCAAUAAGUCAUUGUCCAUGUCAAGCUCGGAUGACAUUUCCUCGUCCCAUACAACCUUGCCAAGUAUUUCAUCAUACACCUGUGCCUCGCUCUCAGACAACACUGUGCAGACCUUCUUGUACUGGGUCUGGUCCUCCACCUCAGCUAGCUGCUGCAAUAAGCCAUCAUGUGUGUUGCCAUCUGAUGCUAGUUCCUCAUCCCAUACGAUGUUAUCGAAAGGCAUUUUCUCACGAAAUUUCUCUGCAUCUUUGUUCUCUACCAUCUCAUUUUCAAGAGGCACCAUAGAAGCAGCAUUCACGUGAAGCUCUAAAGCAAACUGAGUGCUAUUAACAUGAGGUAACUCAUCAUGGAUGUCUGGAUCGGCAACUCGCUUGGUUUCCUUAUCAACUAUGGACUCUUCACCACGAGCUAGCAGAUCCAAUAAGCCUUCAGACCACCUCAGACAAGCCUCACACUCUACACCGCUGAUGUAGCAGCCACGACCAUGGUGAUCUGACCGCGCCCUCGAUGUGCAUGUCGACUGGAAGUCGAGCUCAACUCGACCCAUGCUGCGGAUCGACGUCUCUGAUGGGAAUCUGCGCUGCGUGCCUGCAGGAGUCGAGCGCCGCCGUCGCUCACUGCCUGUCGUACUCGCGAACCCGCCACCGGAGGAAGCGCCGACAGGAGUCACUGCAGCACCGGGGAGUCGUUGCCGCGGAACGAAACGGCGCCCGAGCCGAACCGGACCUCUGGAACCGCCGCAUGCGCCUCCAAUCGCCGCGAGGAGGGCCGAUCCGCGCGCGCCCGCGUCGGAUCCGUGUGCGGGGAGGCCGGAGAAGAUGCACCGCCGGCCGAAUCGAGGCCGGAGAGAUGCGUCGCCGGCGAGUGGGGCCCGCAGCGCCGCCGACUAGGGUUGGGCUUGCUGGAGCACGGGAAGAAGGGAGCAGAUGGGGCAGGGCGGGUCGGGGCUGGAUCAGGGCACCGCGCGUCGGAACGGCGCUCGAGCAACCCGUGCCCAGGAACACCAGCGAAGACGAGGUGGAGAGCACCGCCGCCGCUGCAACAGCACCGCUGCAACACCCACGCCGAGGAUAACUGGCUCUGAUACCACUGUAAUACCCGUGGCUACACCGGCGAGAUCAAUCCGGGAGCGUGAGUAAUUGCAGGGGAAAUCGAGAGGGGGAUAGGAUCUCACAGCCAGAGGAGGAAGACGAGCUUCCUGUGUUCCUCGGUCUUUCUUCUUUCUGAAUAAUUUCCUGUCCUCUGCAUCGAUGCCUCAGCUCCUCUUUGUCCUCGUGGUCUUUGGCUUCAGCAAUUGGGUUGGAUAGAGUGGGCUUCGGCCUUGGCAAAUGGGCAGGUAGGCUGGGCUUCUUCUGGGCCACACUUGGGUCAUGACACGCCUCCACCUCCACAGCCCUCGUCCCCGCCGCAGGCGCCGGCGCGUCCUCGCGCCUCUCCAUCCCCAACCCGUCUCUCAAG
Molecule: long non-coding RNA, 2888 nt
Filed under: Zea mays
Lineage: Eukaryota; Viridiplantae; Streptophyta; Magnoliopsida; Poales; Poaceae
Description: long non-coding RNA (ZMAY_LNC004033)
Source: RNAcentral